AUUGAACGCUGGCGGCAGGCCUAACACAUGCAAGUCGAGCGGAUGAAGGGAGCUUGCUCCUGGAUUCAGCGGCGGAAGGGUGAGUAAUGCCUAGGAAUAUGCCUGGCAGUGGGGGAUAACGUCUGGAAACGGGCGCUAAUAACGCAUACGUCCUGAGGGAGAAAGUGGGGGAUCUUCGGACCUCACGCUAUCAGAUGAGCGUAGGUCGGAGUAGCUAGUUGGUGGGGUAAAGGCCUACCAAGGCGACGAUCCGUAACUGGUCUGAGAGGAUGAUCAGUCACACUGGAACUGAGACACGGUCCAGGCUCCUACGGUAGGCAGCAGUGGGGAAUAUUGGACAGUGGGCGAAAGCCUGAUCCAGCCAUGCCGCGUGUGUGGAGAAGGUCUUCGGAUUGUAAAGCACUUUUAGUUGGGAUGAAGGGCAGUAGUUUAAUACCUUGCUGUUUUGACGUUACCGACAGAAUAAGCACCGGCUAACUUCGUG
RNAcentral lists this ribosomal RNA (484 nucleotides) under uncultured bacterium. Its description in RNAcentral is "partial 16S ribosomal RNA". It matches the Rfam family "Bacterial small subunit ribosomal RNA", at positions 30 to 507 of the family's 1533-position model. The record is from RNAcentral.